Molecule: ribosomal RNA, 467 nt
Filed under: uncultured bacterium
Lineage: Bacteria
Description: partial 16S ribosomal RNA
Rfam family: Bacterial small subunit ribosomal RNA
Source: RNAcentral
AUUGAACGCUAGCGGCAUGCUUAACACAUGCAAGUCGAACGGCAGCGCCGCUUUCGGUGUGUCCUCGAGUGGCGAACGGGUGAGUAACGCAUCGGUAACUUCCCAUUAGCUUUGGAAUACCUUCAGAAAACUGGGGCUAUUCCCCAAACGGCGCUCCUGCGGCAUGGGGGGGGUUGGAGAGUUUCGGCGGUUGGGGAUGGACUCGCGGCGUAUCAGCUUGUUGGUGGGGUAGUGGCUUACCAGGGCGUUUCCGGGUAGCCGGCCUGAGAGGGUGACAGGCGGCACUGGGACCGAGGGAAGGCCGAGAUGGGGAAGGGAGGAAGCAGGGGGGAAUAUUGAACAAGGGGUGCAGGGCUGAUGCAGCAAGGCUGCGGGCGGUAUGACGGCCUUCGGGGGGUAAACCGGUUUCGCGCAAGACGAAGCUUGGUGUGACGGUAGUGGGUAAAGAAGCACCGGCUAACUACGUG